Molecule: long non-coding RNA, 721 nt
Organism: Pectinophora gossypiella (pink bollworm)
Lineage: Eukaryota; Metazoa; Arthropoda; Insecta; Lepidoptera; Gelechiidae
Exons: 3
Source: RefSeq, a predicted model, not a curated record
UCAGAACAAUAACUAAAGCAUAGAAGGAAGGCUAAAAUAAGAAUUCAGAAACUAUAAACCGGCUCUCUUCUAGCUUACGACACAAACUAUGAGUGAGAAAAGGACAAAUGAUUCGCUCUUUGCUUCAUUUUUUCCGAGGUUGUCACAACAUGAAAUGUCAUUUGGACCUAUUGGACUCAUUUUAAUUCGGCCAAAUACAUAGUAACAUACAUAAGAAGAUUUUACUUAUAUUUACCGAACUAUUUGACACGGUCGCGUGAACUUUGUUUACGAGUGUCUUGUGUUCAGAUUGUUUUAAGUGAUAAUUUAACAAUAUUUUUCCAAAUAAAUGGAAAGAAACUUUUAUUUAUAUCAAAUAAUUGAGUGUCUCGACUCUGUGACAUUAUGUCUUGUGUGGUAUGGGGCUGCAGCUCACAUUCAGGAAGAAAAGAAAAUAGCCAACAACUUCUGUCGUUUCAUCGAUAUUAAAUCCAAAAGUGUCGACUGGAUUUACAUGAAAAGUCAGUUCAAGAAGACGAGAUGAAAAAUUUAAAAGAAAAGCUGAACAAGUCACGCCUCAAGAUCAAACGACUUAAUGAAAAAAAAAAUCAAUGUGACAGGGUGUCACAAAGACAGUUUCUAAACAAAUUGACACUGUUUAGAAAUUAAUAAAUUUGUAUUUAUUGUAAAUAUAAUGUACAUAAUUAAUAACGUGUAAAAUAAAUACUUGCUAAUGAACAGA